CUAUGUUUAAGUCAAGGAAAUGACAAGCCUGAAUUUAAAAGAAAAAAAAGGCUUUAAUUGUUGAACUUGCAAAAAAACCUUAGACCUCUACAAUUAUUCCAGGAAGAACCAGGGUCCCCCAGCAGUGGAGCUUCCAAAGAGAACAUAGUAGUCAGCAUCCAGCUUGGACAUUCCAAGGAGAGUGACAGACAGGCAGCACUUCCCAGUGUCCAGCAUUAGAUGAAAUCGAGGAACUACCCCUACGGCCAGGAUUUCAGAAUUACUAUGGGCAAGGACUUCUUGUUUUUGGUUCCCUGGACUGAAUGGGAGUUUUAGUUUUUGAUAUCCUGUUUCUACUCCACCAGUGUGUAGGGGGCGGGGUGGGCAGACAACUUGUCUUCUAGUUCACAGGUCACCAGAUCACAGGGAACCAGUCUGGACCCAGUAGCAAGGACUGUACAACAUCCCUGAGAUCCUGGAUUUGAGGUGGUUGUAGCAUCUACAUAGUCUUUUUAGGUUGUCUCACUUGGGAUGAGUGUGUUCUAUAUGAGGGGUAGGGAGUGAAAUGAAUGUUUGGUGAACAGAUGGGUAAAUUGUGGCAGAUGGUAACAAUGCUAUGUGAUCAGCAAACCUGAUUUCCUUUUCUUCCUGGUCAACAGGAAGUGAGCCAAUACUUCCCAGUUUUCUUUGGACUUUGGUGGUGCCCUGGGACUGAGGUCUGGCCAAUAGAAUGUGUGUACAGAGACGGCGCAGAAUUUCCCAGAGGACCUUAGUCAACGCAGAAUUAAAGGGAAAAAUUCCACUUCUGUCAAAGGUGAAACAUCUGAGCUUCCUUACCUGCAGAACCUCCAGAGACAUCAACGUGGUCUGUAGGAGCAACCUCAGCAAAAGAAAAAACAAGAAAGCCUCACCUGAUAGGCUGUCAAUCACAGAAAUAAAAAAGAAAAGAAAGAAGAGAGGCAGCUUUAUUUUAUUUAAAUAGAAUUACUCUUCUUGCUUUCCUAAUAUGACAAUGUGGGUGUACAUUGGGCUGUUUCUCAGUAACAAAACUGGCUACCAUGGCGAUAGAUGCUCUUUCCUUAGUUCUGGGUUUUUAUAAAAUGUUGGUCACUGAAAGCACAAUGUGGUGUGUAAAAUCAACCUCCUUCUGAAAUAGGUUAAAAAUAACUGAGUUGCAAGCUUUGAAAUGCUUAAGAGUGUGCAUUUGAUAAUAGUGGGUUGACUGGUUGUCCCCCCUCCCUAGAUGUGCCCAUGUCCUAAAUCCCAGAACUUGUGAAUGUGUCCUUCUUUGAAAGAAGGGUCUUGGAAGAUAUAAUUAAAUUGAGGAUCUUAAGGUGAGGAGGCUGUCCUGGAUUAUUUGAGUCUGCCCUAAAUUCCAUCACAAAUGUCCUUAAAGGAGACACACAGAGGAAACUCACAGAGGAGGAAGAGGGGAUGCGAUCACAGAGUUAGGGGCAGGAGUGGCGUGGCCACCAGGUUCUGGAAGAAACCAAGAACAGAUUCCCCGAGAGCCCCUGAAGAGGGUGUGGACCUGCCAACACCUGCAUUUAGACUCUGGGCUUCAGAACUGUGAGUUUAUCACUUGCUAUUGUUUUAAGCCCCCAAGUUUGGGGUUAUUUGUUAUGGCUGCCCCAGGAAACAGAUGUAGUAACCCACACAGAUUUUGAAGCCAGGAGAAGCAAAGAAGAAUUUAAUCAUCAACAGCGCAAGCCCACUAAAGAGGACUGUAGUGGUUGGCGUCUGAACUUCACACAUCUUGCAGGAACAGGCUUCCCAUAAAGGUUUAGACGUUGGCGUAACAGACUUCCCACUUGAGGAUGGACUCCAAGGAGAGAACAUUUCUUCAGCACAUCCCAGGAGUCAGACCCCAUGCUGGGUGUUUGGUCUGCAUUUUCUAUGGGAGAUCUCACAUUCAUAUUCACGGCCCGCAUCCACCCACAUUUCAGAUAAAGGCUACUCCAUCAGCCUGAACCCCGAAGUGAAGAUGAGGAGCUCGUAAGGGGCAUGCAGCAGGAGUGAGAACAAAACCACGGAGUUUUAGGCUCGUUUCUCACAGCCACACAGCCUCACCUGUCCAGAAUGACAACCAUGUCUAAUCUACUUAAUGACUUCAUGCAGUGGAUAUCAUCAUAUUCAUUUUACUUAUUUAUUUUUGGGGACAGAAUCUCAUUCUGUCACCCAGGCUAGAAUGCAGUGUGGCUCAAUUAAAGCUCACUGCAGCCUGGUCCUCCCAGGCUCAAGCGAUCCUCCCACCUCAACCCUCUGAGUAGCUGGGACUACAGGUGUGUGUCACCAUGCCCAGCUGAUAUUUGUAUGUUUUGUAGAGAUGAGGGUUUCACCAUGUUGCUCAGGCUGGUUGAGCUCCUGAGCUCAAGCAAUCUGCCUGUCUUGGCCUCUCAAAAUGCUAGGAUUACAGGUGUGCAUAUUCAUUUUAGAAAUAAAAAAACUGAGACUCAGAGAAAUUCAUUACAUUGCUCAAAGAUACAACUAAUAAAAGGCAGAACUGGAUCUGACAUCUUAAACCUUUUGAGUUGAGGUGAUAUGCAAAAACAUGUAAAUUUAGGAACAUUAAUAUAUAUGAAAUGUAGAAUAACUUGAAAGAAAGAAGGUGGGAAGACAAGGUCAGCAGUUAUGAAGUGGAAAGAAUUCACAGAAGCACUAGCCAUAUUCAUCCAGGCUGGCUGCCACAAGGAAUCAUAAAGAGCCAUGGCAAGAGAGGAUGAGGCCUAGACUUGAGCCAGGCCGAAGCACAAAACACAGGAAGAGAGGAAUAAAUGCUGGGAAUCCACGCAGGAACAUGUCAGAGGGUUCAGGAGUCAGACGGCCCUGCAUUCAAGUCCUGCUUGCUAAGCUUUAGGUUCUCCCUGGGAGAUGGAGUAAUCACAGUGCAUUUCUCCCCAGGUUGCUGGGUAGAUUAAAGGAGAUGAGGUAGCCUUGGCCCAAGGAAAACCUCAAUGAGUAAUAGUUGUGGUGGUUGUUAUUUCUAAAUUUAUUUCAGGUAUAUGUCUAUGCUUUGAUCCUGGAGAGUGAAUUCAAAAUUCCAGGUGAUGACUUCAUCCAAAAAUUGUGAGGUCUUAGGAGAUGUCAACGUUUCACAGAGCAAUCUCUUUAUAGGUAGUUUUAACAGAGCAUUAAGAAAAUGCUCUUUCCUCUAUAAUCCAUGUCCUUUGAAAGAGAGAUUCUUUAGGGAGUUAAAAAUCUCACUGUAGUCAAACUUCAUGGAGAAAGAAGGUAGGCAGAAAAGAAAAUCAAAGUCAAGAGAGU
Molecule: long non-coding RNA, 3243 nt
Filed under: Callithrix jacchus (white-tufted-ear marmoset)
Lineage: Eukaryota; Metazoa; Chordata; Mammalia; Primates; Cebidae
Description: lncRNA (ENSCJAG00000085460.1)
Source: RNAcentral